CUCCUCCGGUCCACGCCCAGGGAGGCUUGGGGAUCUACGGAUUAGGGAAGCCCUGGCUUAACCCAGCGGAUGCUAAGGGCCAGAGUUCGGAGAAGAGAGGAAGUCCUUUGACGUCUGCAGGACCCUUAUAGGACAGCCCUGCCUAGGCACAGAGACUGUGGGAGCCCCGCGCCACAUCCUGCAGGCAGGAAACGUAGUCUGCCUCGUAGCAAGAUGGAGCCAGGGAGGAGGGGAAGAGGCGAUGUGAUCGGAUUUGUACUUCACGAGGAUCUUCAGGAAGAUCACUAUGGCAACUGUGGGAAGAAGAGCCCGGGGGGAGGGGGGCUGCCAGUCUGAAGGCAGGGGACCAAGAAGGUAGCAGUGGCCCAGACCAUGCCUGCUGGUGGCUUAAACUAAUGUAGCAGAGGAGGGGGAGGGACUCAGAAAGAAGUGAACAGAUGCCAAGGCCAAGUGAUGGACUGGAGGUGGGCAGGUCGGGGUGGAAGAGAGCUGAUAAGGAUUCCCAGGUCUCUGGUUUGGGCAACAGGGUGAAAGAGCAGGUCUCAACCUCCAGCAGAAAGGUGGUGUCUCACCCAACAAGGGGAACAUGAAGGAGAAGCAGGCCUGGGAAGUGGGGCUGACAAGUCUGCAGCUCCGGACAGAGGCAGGGCUGAAGACAGGGCAUCCAGGGAGCCAGCCGUGGGCAGGGCUGGGCAGCUGGUUCAGCUGCCUGGAGCACAGGUCCAAGGAGCUGGGUCCUCCGUAUAUUGUCCUGACCCAGGCCAGCUGGCUCACCGGAUUGAGCUGGUCACCUCUGUGAGCAAUCAGGACUCCAUACAGACGGGAGCCGUCUGAGAAGCCGUCUGUAGAACGUGAAUUGUCCUCCUUACACACAGGAGGCUGGAGCAUUGCCUUGCCUGCCCCAACAUCCAGACCUCCCUGGGCAGCCUGAGUAAGCCACAACAGCCUCAGAAAGAGCCUUGAGUCAGAAAAACCGAGAGACACAGCGACUGAGGGGAGACACUGCCGGCGUGCUCAGGAACCAUCCUCCACAGGCAGCUGAAAUUACAGGUGGUCCAAGGGGAUGGGGCCGGGAACACAAAAGGCGUCUGCUGUCACAGCUCAUCAUAAGUCUGCCACUUCCAUUCCUAAUAGAGAAGAGGACCACUGCACCAAUGCUGAGGGGAUGACCCACUAGAGCUGACACUUGUGUUUACUGUGGGACAGGCACUGUUCUGAAUGCCUUACCUUCCAGCCACACAAUCACAGUUUACAGGUGAGGAAGUGAGCCACAGUGCUAAAAUGUGGCGGGCCUGGGACUAGGCCCUACACCCAAAGGUACCAGUGGUUGUACUUCAACCUCUACGCUAUUCUGCCUUUGGGUGUUAAUAGCAGGGGCCUGACAGUGAGGUACCAGCAUAGUGCCUGACACAGAGGAGCAGCUCCAAAAUGGGAGGGCGGUCCACCCCCUUUAGCCAUUCCUUAAUGUCCUCUUUUACUUGGCUGAGAUUUGCAGGAAAGUGGGAUGAGUGUGUAGCAGCUAAUUCAGGACAGGCGCCAAGGUCCUGGCCUCCACACAGGAGUUCCUUAGAGGCAGCUGGAGUGAAUCUCAGAAGUCUUCCUGCAGGAGGCAGCCUUCAACUGCUUGUAGGAGACUUCCUGUAGGAAGCAGCCCUUAGGUAAGGAGGGGGCUGGAAUGGAUGCUCAUUCCACUUCCAGGGGAAGUCCUCAGAGAUCAGGCAUGACGCAUACUGGCAGGGCACAACCAGGGCAGCAGCAACGACAAUCACAAGAGCCGUGUACUCUUCCACACUGACCAGGGUUUUACUUUUCCAAAUGCAUUCACGUGUAUUCUCCUCUUUGAUCCUAAAAAAUGAGAUUUUUAAUACACACUGACAAUGAAUGUUAGUUUCCUUCCUUCCUUCUUCUCUCUCUUCUAACCUUAUGAAGCAAGGGUGCCAGGGGCAAAUUUUAUCCUUCCUAUUUUACAAAUAAACUGCUGCACAGAAAGGUCAAGCGAGUGGCCUGGUAUCAAACAGUUCUGCAUGCUAAGACUAAAGCCCAGACUACAGCCACAGUCGGAUGCUCUGCCUUGCACGCCUCUGUGCGGGGUGAGGGAUGCUUGGCCAUGGGCCUAUAGAUGUGAGAAGCACCAGCAGAACUGCUCUAGGAAAGGGCACAGGGCGGAGCCUUCAGGUCCUGAAUCCUGUGCCACUCCCUCAACUUUCUUGGUGUGAACAGUUAAUCACCACCACCACCACCCACUUCUGAAACAGACCUCCUGUCAAGUUGGGCAGCCUCCAGCAGAUAUGUGGAUAUAUGGAUGUGCCCUAAGUGUCUGCAAGCUCUGCUGGACUGAACCCAUGUUCCUAAGACCAGGAAUUGAGCCCAGAGGCCUGCACUCAGCUACCAGUGAAAGCAGGCAGCAGACGGGAAUGGUGGUUUGUGGAGUCAGACGGUCUUGAGUUCUGUUCCAGCCUCGACACUUACUAGCUAAAUGACCCUGGACAGGGACUUGUCCUUUCUGAGUUUCAGUAUCUUCAACUGUAAGAUAAAGUCAGUAGCGUCUUUCCCAUGGGUUGCAAG
Equus caballus (horse) is the source of this 2565-nucleotide long non-coding RNA. The record is from Ensembl. NCBI's taxonomy places the organism in Eukaryota, Metazoa, Chordata, Mammalia, Perissodactyla, Equidae.